CACCCUGCAGCUCCUCUGGGUCCUUCUUGCGCGAGCACAGAGCGUUGCCGCGGUUACCAUGGCAACAUUACUGCUCUUGCGAGAGUCAACUCUAGCCCUGGAGCUACGGGCUAGAGUUCACUCUCAACACUGUAACCCCCAUGGAUUCCUGGUGGUCGCAGUGGUAAGAGUGAACUCUAGCCCCAUAAACACACUGCCCCCACACACACACCAUACACAUUCACACACUGCCCCCAUACACACCAUACACAUUUACACACAUUGCCUCACACAUACAC
This is a non-coding RNA of Pelobates cultripes (western spadefoot toad), 278 nucleotides long. The record is from the annotation of a GenBank genome assembly. NCBI's taxonomy places the organism in Eukaryota, Metazoa, Chordata, Amphibia, Anura, Pelobatidae.